RNAcentral lists this ribosomal RNA (253 nucleotides) under uncultured bacterium. Its description in RNAcentral is "partial 16S ribosomal RNA". It matches the Rfam family "Bacterial small subunit ribosomal RNA", at positions 524 to 776 of the family's 1533-position model. The record is from RNAcentral.
UACGGAGGGUGCAAGCGUUAUCCGGAUUUACUGGGUUUAAAGGGUGCGUAGGCGGCUUUUUAAGUCAGUGGUGAAAUCCUAGUGCUUAACACUAGAACGGCCAUUGAUACUGGGAGGCUUGAGUCAAGGAGAGGUAAGCAGAAUUUAUGGUGUAGCAGUGAAAUGCUUAGAUACCAUAAGGAAUACCAAUAGCGAAGGCAGCUUACUGGCCUUGUACUGACGCUGAGGCACGAAAGCGUGGGGAGCAAACAGG